UACGGGGGGGCAAGCGUUGUUCGGAAUUACUGGGCGUAAAGCGAGUGUAGGUGGUUGUCCAAGUUGGAUGUGAAAGCCUUGAGCUCAACUCAAGAAAUGCAUUCAGGACUGGGCGGCUAGAGGACCGGAGAGGAUAGUGGAAUUCCCAGUGUAGUGGUGAAAUACGUAGAGAUUGGGAAGAACACCAGUGGCGAAGGCGGCUAUCUGGACGGUUUCUGACACUAAGACUCGAAAGCGUGGGGAGCAAACAGG
This 252-nucleotide ribosomal RNA is filed under the name uncultured bacterium. RNAcentral describes it as "partial 16S ribosomal RNA". It matches the Rfam family "Bacterial small subunit ribosomal RNA", at positions 524 to 776 of the family's 1533-position model. The record is from RNAcentral.